GCUCUGUUGUUAGGGAAGAACAAGUAUCGGAGUAACUGCCGGUACCUUGACGGUACCUAACCAGAAAGCCACGGCUAACUACGUGCCAGCAGCCGCGGUAAUACGUAGGUGGCAAGCGUUGUCCGGAAUUAUUGGGCGUAAAGCGCGCGCAGGCGGUCCUUUAAGUCUGAUGUGAAAGCCCACGGCUCAACCGUGGAGGGUCAUUGGAAACUGGGGGACUUGAGUGCAGAAGAGGAAAGCGGAAUUCCACGUGUAGCGGUGAAAUGCGUAGAGAUGUGGAGGAACACCAGUGGCGAAGGCGGCUUUCUGGUCUGUAACUGACGCUGAGGCGCGAAAGCGUGGGGAGCAAACAGGAUUAGAUACCCUGGUAGUCCACGCCGUAAACGAUGAGUGCUAAGUGUU
RNAcentral lists this ribosomal RNA (402 nucleotides) under Neobacillus drentensis. Its description in RNAcentral is "bacterial SSU rRNA". It matches the Rfam family "Bacterial small subunit ribosomal RNA", at positions 430 to 824 of the family's 1533-position model. The record is from RNAcentral. Lineage: Bacteria; Bacillati; Bacillota; Bacilli; Caryophanales; Bacillaceae.